Molecule: transfer RNA, 71 nt
Filed under: Ovis aries (sheep)
Lineage: Eukaryota; Metazoa; Chordata; Mammalia; Artiodactyla; Bovidae
Rfam family: tRNA
About the family: Transfer RNA (tRNA) molecules are approximately 80 nucleotides in length. Their secondary structure includes four short double-helical elements and three loops (D, anti-codon, and T loops).
Source: Rfam by way of RNAcentral
UCCUGGUGGCUCAGAUGGUGAAGAAUCUGCCUGCAAUGCAGAAGACCUGGGUUCAAUCCCUGGGUCAGGAA